GUCUACAGCCAUGCUACCCUGAAUAAGUCUGAUCCCUUCUGAUCUCAGAAGCUAAGCAGGGUCAGGCCUGGUUAGUACUUGGAUGGGAGACCGCCUAGGAAGACCAGGUGCUGUAGGCA
This 119-nucleotide ribosomal RNA is filed under the name Pteropus alecto (black flying fox). The record is from RNAcentral. Lineage: Eukaryota; Metazoa; Chordata; Mammalia; Chiroptera; Pteropodidae.